GACGACGCAACGCCGCGUGGAGGACGAAGACCUUCGGGUCGUAAACUCCUUUCGAUCGAGACGAAUGGCCUCCGGGUAAACAACUCGGAGGAAUGACGGUACCGAGAGAAGAAGCCCCGGCUAACUCCGUGCCAGCAGCCGCGGUAAUACGGGGGGGGCAAGCGUUGUUCGGAAUUACUGGGCGUAAAGGGCUCGUAGGUGGCCAACUAAGUCAGACGUGAAAUCCCUCAGCUUAACUGGGGAACUGCGUCUGAUACUGGAUGGCUUGAGUUUGGGAGAGGGAUGCGGAAUUCCAGGUGUAGCGGUGAAAUGCGUAGAUAUCUGGAGGAACACCGGUGGCGAAGGCGGCAUCCUGGACCAACACUGACACUGAGGAGCGAAAGCCAGGGGAGCAAACGGGAUUAGAUACCCCGGUAGUCCUGGCCCUAAACGAUGAAUGCUUGGUGUGGCGGGUAUCGAUCCCUGCCGUGCCGAAGCUAACGCAUUAAGCAUUCCGCCUGGGGAGUACGGUCGCAAGGCUG
Molecule: ribosomal RNA, 521 nt
Filed under: uncultured Acidobacteriota bacterium
Lineage: Bacteria; Pseudomonadati; Acidobacteriota
Description: bacterial SSU rRNA
Rfam family: Bacterial small subunit ribosomal RNA
Source: RNAcentral